GACGAACGCUGGCGGCGUGCUUAACACAUGCAAGUCGAACGGAAAGGCCCUGCUUUUGUGGGGUGCUCGAGUGGCGAACGGGUGAGUAACACGUGAGUAACCUGCCCUUGACUUUGGGAUAACUUCAGGCAACUGGGGCUAAUACCGGAUAGGAGCUCCUGCUGCAUGGUGGGGGUUGGAAAGUUUCGGCGGUUGGGGAUGGACUCGCGGCUUAUCAGCUUGUUGGUGGGGUAGUGGCUUACCAAGGCUUUGACGGGUAGCCGGCCUGAGAGGGUGACCGGCCACAUUGGGACUGAGAUACGGCCCAGACUCCGACGGGAGGCAGCAGUGGGGAAUAUUGCACAAUGGGCGGAAGCCGGAGGCAGCAACGCCGCGUGCGGGAUGACGGCCUUCGGGUUGUAAACCGAUUUCGCCUGUGACGAAGCGUGAGUGACGGUAAUGGGUAAAGAAGCACCGGCUAACUACGU
This 467-nucleotide ribosomal RNA is filed under the name uncultured bacterium. RNAcentral describes it as "partial 16S ribosomal RNA". It matches the Rfam family "Bacterial small subunit ribosomal RNA", at positions 28 to 506 of the family's 1533-position model. The record is from RNAcentral.